Molecule: transfer RNA, 76 nt
Filed under: Nitrososphaeria archaeon
Lineage: Archaea; Thermoproteati; Nitrososphaerota; Nitrososphaeria
Description: tRNA-Pro
Rfam family: tRNA
About the family: Transfer RNA (tRNA) molecules are approximately 80 nucleotides in length. Their secondary structure includes four short double-helical elements and three loops (D, anti-codon, and T loops).
Source: RNAcentral
CGGGGUGUGGGCCAGUGGCUAGGCCGCCUGCUUUGGGAGCAGGACAUCUUCAUGGGUUCGAGUCCCAUCACCCCGA